Molecule: ribosomal RNA, 455 nt
Filed under: uncultured bacterium
Lineage: Bacteria
Description: bacterial SSU rRNA
Rfam family: Bacterial small subunit ribosomal RNA
Source: RNAcentral
UACGGAGGCAGCAGUGGGGAAUAUUGCACAAUGGGCGAAAGCCUGAUGCAGCUAUGCCGCGUGUAUGAAGAAGGCCUUAGGGUUGUAAAGUACUUUCAUCGGGGAGGAAAAACAAAACUAAUAAUUUUAUUUCUUGACGUUACCCGAAAAAGAAGCACCGGCUAACUCCGUGCCAGCAGCCGCGGUAAUACGGAGGGUGCUAGCGUUAAUCAGAAUUACUGGGCGUAAAGAGCACGUAGGUGGUUUUUUUAAGUCAGAUGUGAAAUCCCUGGGCUUAACCUAGGAACUGCAUUUUGAAACUGAAAUACUAGAGUAUCGUAGAGGGAGGUAGAAUUCUAGGUGUAGCGGUGAAAUGCGUAGAUAUCUGGAGGAAUACCUGUGGCGAAAGCGGCCUCCUAAACGAAUACUGACACUGAGGUCGCGAAAGCGUGGGGAGCAAACAGGGAUUAGAUACC